CAUUUUACUCUGACCCUUCUUUGAUCAUUGUGGAUCUUAUCCAGUUGACAACCUCUCUCAAUUGCAUACUUGCUAAAAGCUUCUAUGAAUUUUUUUACAUUUUCAAAUACCAUAUUAAGUUGCCACACAACUUUUUUCCAUGUUGGAUCAUAUGAGACCCUUUUGUCCUUCUUUCUUGCCCUUAAAAUAUCAGAUCUUUCAACAUUUAUUUCCCCCUCACUUUCACUUUCAAAACUAUCGACAUCAGAACUGUCGUAAAAAGGCUCAUCACCUACUAGCUUACCAGUUAAAUUUUUCUUGGGUUUAUCAAUGUCUUCAAAACCAGGAUCUAUGCCAACUUCUCCCAAAAAACACUAAGCAAUUUUUUUUUACUUGGCUCUUAUUUUUUCUUCAAAUAUGCUUCCAAAUCCUUCUUAACUAUGCU
This 424-nucleotide long non-coding RNA is filed under the name Solanum tuberosum (potato). RNAcentral describes it as "long non-coding RNA (STUB_LNC002762)". Lineage: Eukaryota; Viridiplantae; Streptophyta; Magnoliopsida; Solanales; Solanaceae. The record is from RNAcentral.